AGGGUGGGUGGGGUUGUUGGGGUUGGUAGUGUUUAUUUUAGAAUUAUUUCGUAUACAUUGCGUUUUAGACGUAAUGAUUUCGUUAUUGUUUCUCUUCUUUGUCUUUGUGCGAAGAGACGCUUAGUUAAAGUUUUAGUUUAGUAUUAGUUGGUUGUUGUUAAAAUGAGUUCUUUAAGUGAAGUUGAUUCAGGUAAUUUGAAUAAGUGGAAUGUGAAUGCGAAGAAGUUUUCAAUUAGUGAAAUUGUUUGUCCAUGGUCGCAUGAUAAUUAUCCGUGAGUAUUUACCUUUUUUUUGUUUGUGAUAAAUGUUGAUUUUUUUUAAUUCUUUUUGUUUAAGAUGGGCUUUGGAGGUGAAGGUGGAUAGUGUUGAUCCUUUUAAAACUGGGAAAACUGGGAGUUGUAUAAAUUUUGCUGUGAAGUUGAGAGAUGCUACAGAAGUGGUUCAUUGUAUUGGUUUUCAUGAUGCGGAAGUGAUAUCUAGGAGGUUCAAGGUAAAUUUUUCUUUUGAAUUGUUUUAUACUAUGAUUUGUUAAUGAUUUCAUUUUAUUUGUUUAUUUGUUAUUUUUUCAUGCUGAUGUUUUAGGUUGGUGCUACUUACAGAAUUGAAAAUGCUAAUCCGAAGGAUGUGAAUCCUAAUUUUGUCCGUGAUGAUAGAUUUGAUCAUAAAUGUGAGAUCAUGUUGCCUGCUAAUAAUUUGGUAAUUUUUAGUCACAUUUUUUGUUAGUUUCUGAUUAUUUUCCUUUCGUUAGAUUUGGUGUGUUGUAGAAAGUGGAUUUCCUCCCCAAAAAGUUAGAAAAGUUGAGGAAAAGGUUGAUGUUUUGCCGUCAACGUCGUUGAUGAAGGAAUCAGUGGAAUCAGUGAAAAGUCCAAUCUCUUUGUCAUCUGAAAAAGAGAUAGUAUACAUCUUUGUUUUUCAAAUCUAUUGUGAGUGAUCAUUGGGGAUUUUCCGUGUGUCGUUACUCGGCUGAUUGUAUGCAAAAGUUGGAGCCUGUUGGGAAGAACUAUAAAUGUACAUCUUGUGAUAUUAUUUCUGAUGACUUUGAUUGACAUCUAUCGAUUUUGGUAUUUAUGUUUUCAUUUUGUUUGUGGUAUAUUUUUUCACUUUUGAUAAUGAAUUUGUUGUUUAGUUGAAUGUUUUCGAUGGACUGAAUGAUUUUGAAGUUGAAGCUACUUCUACCAAUACAGAAAAGAUUUUAGGUGUGACGUCAUUGUUUGUUGGAAAAUGUGUUCGUAAAAACGAGCUUGAAAAGUUGAAAGGGUCAGACGGUCACACAUAAAAGAGUUGAUUCCGUGUCUGAAUGUUUCAUUUCUGGAGCUGAGGUGAUAAUUAAGAAGAUGCUUGAUAAUGAAUCUGCAGAGGCUAUGGACGAAACGAAAUGAAUUUUUUUGUUGCUGUGCCGAGGUCUUCUUUUCUGGAUAUGAAAAAAAAACAGAAUUUUUUUUUGUUUUGGUUGAGGUAUAAUGCUAAUUAGUAAUUUAGAAACUUAUUUUGAUAAUGUAUUUAAACUGAAACGAAGUUUGAAUGGAUGAAAUUAAAAUUGGUGGAAUGAAGUACGUGUUUUUUUUGUGUUUUUAUUGCGUGAAAACAUGUUUCGAUUUUUUUGACGAUAGA
This 1611-nucleotide long non-coding RNA is filed under the name Daphnia pulicaria. Its description in RNAcentral is "uncharacterized LOC124341791, transcript variant X2". The record is from RNAcentral. Lineage: Eukaryota; Metazoa; Arthropoda; Branchiopoda; Diplostraca; Daphniidae.